Molecule: long non-coding RNA, 860 nt
Filed under: Heterocephalus glaber (naked mole-rat)
Lineage: Eukaryota; Metazoa; Chordata; Mammalia; Rodentia; Bathyergidae
Description: lncRNA (ENSHGLG00100033133.1)
Source: RNAcentral
GGCGAGAAAAUGAUGGAGGCGGGGAGAAUGCUAAUCACACCGCCUUGAGAACUGGGGCGGGAAUCCCGGGCCUGAAGUCCCACUGAGUUUGCCGCACGCGCUCGCCUGCUGCACGGUACUAGCUACGAAGCUCUCCUUUCAGGGCCCCACUUCGGCUCCUCUUGCAUCCUAGCCCUUAAAGGUCAGCGCUUGUGUAAAUAGAACUGCAGUGCCACCUGUCUCCCUUCUGCGCGCUUGCACUGGGUGACGAAGAGGCAAUACUUAGUCCCUAGUGUAUGCCUAACAGUAAUUAAUCGUCAUUAAUGCAAGACCUGAAGCUCCUACAAUUUCGAGGCAAGUACACGAGCCAUUCAACAAACAUCAAAUUUCUGAAUUGAAGAUACUUUUUAAUUUAAUUUUUUUUUUUUUUGAGACAAGUUCUUGCUUUGUGUUUAGGCUGGCCCUGAACUCACUUUGUAGCCUGGGCUGGCCUCAAACUUAUGGUGAUCUUCCUGCCUCUGCCUCCCAAGUGCUGGGAUCACAGGCAUGUGCCACCAUGCCUAGCCCUGAAUUGAAGAUACUUUUGCUAUAUUGAACAUACUUCUACAGAACCUAACUCAUGAAAUUCAACUUCACGUUCAAGGGGUUGUUUUUGCUGUAACUCCACUGUGGACUGAUUUGAAGGGUCUGUGCCAGAUACCCUGUGCUGUUCCACCCUGACAAAGACACCGGCACAAGCAGAGUUCCACAGGACUCAUCUGUCUCCCAUCCUCCACGGUACUUCUCCAGUGCUCACCAGGGAGGCCAAUUAGGCCUCAUUCUUCCCAUCUGAUCUCCACAAACCUGGUAGACCCAAGUUCAUUCCUAGCUGUAUUCCUGGC